GCAAGGUGAACUGCAUCUUUGCCCUCGGU
This 29-nucleotide non-coding RNA is filed under the name Mus musculus (house mouse). The record is from RNAcentral. Lineage: Eukaryota; Metazoa; Chordata; Mammalia; Rodentia; Muridae.